GACGAACGCUGGCGUCGUGCCUAAUACAUGCAAGUUGAGCGCUGAAGGUUGGUACUUGUACCAACUGGAUGAGCAGCGAACGGGUGAGUAACGCGUGGGGAAUCUGCCUUUGAGCGGGGGACAACAUUUGGAAACGAAUGCUAAUACCGCAUAAAAACUUUAAACACAAGUUUUAAGUUUGAAAGAUGCAAUUGCAUCACUCAAAGAUGAUCCCGCGUUGUAUUAGCUAGUUGGUGAGGUAAAGGCUCACCAAGGCGAUGAUACAUAGCCGACCUGAGAGGGUGAUCGGCCACAUUGGGACUGAGACACGGCCCAAACUCCUACGGGAGGCAGCAGUAGGGAAUCUUCGGCAAUGGACGAAAGUCUGACCGAGCAACGCCGCGUGAGUGAAGAAGGUUUUCGGAUCGUAAAACUCUGUUGGUAGAGAAGAACGUUGGUGAGAGUGGAAAGCUCAUCAAGUGACGGUAACUACCCAGAAAGGGACGGCUAACUACGUG
Molecule: ribosomal RNA, 497 nt
Filed under: uncultured bacterium
Lineage: Bacteria
Description: partial 16S ribosomal RNA
Rfam family: Bacterial small subunit ribosomal RNA
Source: RNAcentral